RNAcentral lists this ribosomal RNA (253 nucleotides) under uncultured bacterium. RNAcentral describes it as "partial 16S ribosomal RNA". It matches the Rfam family "Bacterial small subunit ribosomal RNA", at positions 524 to 776 of the family's 1533-position model. The record is from RNAcentral.
UACGUAGGGUGCAAGCGUUGUCCGGAAUUAUUGGGCGUAAAGAGCUCGUAGGCGGUCUGUCGCGUCGGAUGUGAAAACCCAGGGCUCAACCCUGGGCCUGCAUUCGAUACGGGCAGACUAGAAUUCGGUAGGGGAGUCUGGAAUUCCUGGUGUAGCGGUGAAAUGCGCAGAUAUCAGGAGGAACACCGGUGGCGAAGGCGGGACUCUGGGCCGAUAUUGACGCUGAGGAGCGAAAGCGUGGGGAGCGAACAGG